RNAcentral lists this ribosomal RNA (460 nucleotides) under uncultured bacterium. RNAcentral's name for it is "bacterial SSU rRNA". It matches the Rfam family "Bacterial small subunit ribosomal RNA", at positions 959 to 1442 of the family's 1533-position model. The record is from RNAcentral.
ACGCGCAGAACCUUACCAACCCUUGACAUCCUUGGACCGUCGCAGAGAUGCGUCUUUCUCGUAAGAGACCAAGUGACAGGUGCUGCAUGGCUGUCGUCAGCUCGUGUCGUGAGAUGUUCGGUUAAGUCCGGCAGCGAGCGCAACCCACACCCUUAGUUGCCAUCAUUCAGUUGGGCACUCUAGGGGAACUGCCCGUGAUAAGCGGGAGGAAGGUGUGGAUGACGUCAAGUCCUCAUGGCCCUUACGGGUUGGGCUACACACGUGCUACAAUGGUAGUGACAAUGGGUUAAUCCCAAAAAGCUAUCUCAGUUCGGAUUGGGGUCUGCAACUCGACCCCAUGAAGUCGGAAUCGCUAGUAAUCGCGUAACAGCAUGACGCGGUGAAUACGUUCCCGGGCCUUGUACACACCGCCCGUCACACCAUGGGAGUUGGGUCUACCCGAAGGCGGUGCGCCAACCUU